AGUGAACGCUGGCGGCAGGCCUAACACAUGCAAGUCGAACGGCAGCGGACCUUCGGGUGCCGGCGAGUGGCGAACGGGUGAGUAAUAUAUCGGAACGUACCUUUCAGUGGGGGAUAACGUAGCGAAAGUUACGCUAAUACCGCAUAUUCUGUGAGCAGGAAAGCAGGGGAUCGCAAGACCUUGCGCUGAUUGAGCGGCCGAUAUCAGAUUAGCUAGUUGGUGAGGUAAAGGCUCACCAAGGCGACGAUCUGUAGCGGGUCUGAGAGGAUGAUCCGCCACACUGGAACUGAGACACGGUCCAGACUCCUACGGGAGGCAGCAGUGGGGAAUUUUGGACAAUGGGCGCAAGCCUGAUCCAGCCAUGCCGCGUGAGUGAAGAAGGCC
This 384-nucleotide ribosomal RNA is filed under the name uncultured bacterium. Its description in RNAcentral is "bacterial SSU rRNA". It matches the Rfam family "Bacterial small subunit ribosomal RNA", at positions 29 to 416 of the family's 1533-position model. The record is from RNAcentral.